Molecule: long non-coding RNA, 1721 nt
Organism: Equus caballus (horse)
Lineage: Eukaryota; Metazoa; Chordata; Mammalia; Perissodactyla; Equidae
Source: Ensembl
CAGAGAGAGGGGAGCUGGAACAUGUUAGGGCCCCCGAAAGCCAAGAUACCCCAGAGCCCAGGAAUCUGAGAAGAGUCCACGUUGAGGGCAGCGUUCGCCUGCGUUCUCUGCCAAGGGGCUGUGGAUUUCGGGACUGAGCACCGUGUCCCGGGACCUCAUCCCCAGGAGGCAGGGCCAUGGGACAGCCCCCAGCGCCAGCCGUGUGGAAUGUGCCACUCUUGGAACUGAGGCUCUCGGUUUUUAAAAUUGGCUUGUAAAUCUCCGUGUAGUUUUCAGGCUUUAGGAAUUUUAUUUUAUCUGGAUUAAAGUCAUGUUCUGCUUUGGCAUAGGAAGGCGUUUAUGACUGUUAAAACAAGAAAUGAAAAAUAUAGGCCUGCAAUCAGCCGGGCUGCCUCCUGCCAGAGUCUAGGGAUUUGUCUUGGGGGCCAGGCUGAAGGUUUGCUGCCCUUCUCCCCGCACUGCUCUGUGUUUCUCCAGAAAGCUGGAGCUGGCUGCCUGGGAGCGGCUGUCGCGAUGGCUGGGAGGGCCUCAGGAACGAAGCCUUUGUCUUUGCUCAGGUGUGUUCUCACAAUGGGGAGCCACGGCCCUCCCCAAGGACCAGCGAGCAAUGGGCGCAUCUCAUUCGCUGCCUGCAUUUGCCCCCGCCCAUCCAAGAGAGCAGAAUCAGAGAGGCAGAAUUCCUUGCAGGAAGAAGAAUCAAUCGCCAAGAGACAAUGGGAUUCCUUUCAACUCACCUUCUCUUCGCUCCAAAUUCCAGAGAUGAGACGAGAGACGGCUUCCGAGGCUGAUAGAGAUGGAUUUUGCCGGGAGAGUGCCAACGUCGCUCCUCCCGCCUCCCGUCGGCCCUCUGCCAAAGUCUUCCCAUCGGACAUCUGGCCCCAGCAGGGAGAAACAGGGACCAAGGCACUUAUUUUGGCUUUGACGUCAGCGAAGGAAGGCUGAGUAAAUUCAUCAUUAGUGCAAAUUAAAAUCCACCAAACCGUAUCUCUCUUCGUUACAUCGCCUGCAUUUCUAGAGCUGACAGAGGUCUCGCUUUCCUUUUGUUUUUGUUUUGCUCUGGAUUAAGGUGUGAUUUUUUUUUAAAAACAGUUAAUUGGAAGAUAAUAAUGCCAGCGAGCUUAUUGUUAAUUAUUUGUAUCUGUACUUAAUACUGAGAAGUGUGCUCUGUUCUCACGAGCUAAUAUUUGGCUUGUCAGAUGUUGUUAGUCGUUGUAAUUAAUGGAGCCCAUAUACAUUUACUGGAGCUGUGGGUAGAGUUAUAGGAACAGCGGGAGAUAUGAAAUUUCUCCACCACCCCGCCCUUAUCCCUAGAAAGAGAACUUUGGGGCGUCGAGUCCUUCUUGUGACAUUCAUUGGUUAUCCGUCUGUAAGACCCUCCAUAUCCUCUCUCUCGGCUCCCUGUUAUUUUCCUUUGUACCAUCAGGGCCAGCUGCAUUGCUUCUGGGGCCCAGUGAAAAACAAAAACAUGGAGGCCGGCCCGUGGCUGAGUGGCUAAGCUCGCGCGCACGCGCACUCUGCUGCAGGCAGCCCAGUGUUUCCUCUGUUCAAAUCCUGGGCGCGGACAUGGCACCACUCAUCCAGCCACGCUGAGGCGGCGUCCCUCAUGCCACAGCUAGAAAGACCCACAACUAAGACUAUACAACUGUGUACCAGGGGGGCUUUGGGGAGAAAAAGGAAAAAAAUAAAAUCUUCAAAAUAAAAUAAAAUAAAACAAAAACGUG